RNAcentral lists this ribosomal RNA (452 nucleotides) under uncultured Thiobacillus sp. Its description in RNAcentral is "bacterial SSU rRNA". It matches the Rfam family "Bacterial small subunit ribosomal RNA", at positions 927 to 1382 of the family's 1533-position model. Lineage: Bacteria; Pseudomonadati; Pseudomonadota; Betaproteobacteria; Nitrosomonadales; Thiobacillaceae. The record is from RNAcentral.
AAGCGGUGGAUGAUGUGGAUUAAUUCGAUGCAACGCGAAGAACCUUUACCUACCCUUGACAUGUCCGGAACUUGCCAGAGAUGGCUUGGUGCCCGAAAGGGAAUCGGAACACAGGUGCUGCAUGGCUGUCGUCAGCUCGUGUCGUGAGAUGUUGGGUUAAGUCCCGCAACGAGCGCAACCCUUAUCAUUAGUUGCUACGCAAGGGCACUCUAAUGAGACUGCCGGUGACAAACCGGAGGAAGGUGGGGAUGACGUCAAGUCCUCAUGGCCCUUAUGGGUAGGGCUUCACACGUCAUACAAUGGUCGGUACAGAGGGUUGCCAAGCCGCGAGGCGGAGCCAAUCCCACAAAGCCGAUCGUAGUCCGGAUUGUUCUCUGCAACUCGAGAGCAUGAAGUCGGAAUCGCUAGUAAUCGCAGGUCAGCAUGCUGCGGUGAAUACGUUCCCGGGUCUU